This 392-nucleotide ribosomal RNA is filed under the name uncultured Gammaproteobacteria bacterium. RNAcentral describes it as "bacterial SSU rRNA". It matches the Rfam family "Bacterial small subunit ribosomal RNA", at positions 370 to 779 of the family's 1533-position model. Lineage: Bacteria; Pseudomonadati; Pseudomonadota; Gammaproteobacteria. The record is from RNAcentral.
AAUGGGCGCAAGCCUGAUCCAGCCAUGCCGUGUGAGUGAUGAAGGCCCUAGGGUCGUAAAGCUCUUUCGCCAGGGAUGAUAAUGACAGUACCUGAUAAAGAAACCCCGGCUAACUCCGUGCCAGCAGCCGCGGUAAUACGGAGGGGGUUAGCGUUGUUCGGAAUUACUGGGCGUAAAGCGCACGUAGGCGGAUCGGAAAGUUGGGGGUGAAAUCCCGGGGCUCAACCCCGGAACUGCCUCCAAAACUAUCGGUCUAGAGUUCGAGAGAGGUGAGUGGAAUUCCGAGUGUAGAGGUGAAAUUCGUAGAUAUUCGGAGGAACACCAGUGGCGAAGGCGGCUCACUGGCUCGAUACUGACGCUGAGGUGCGAAAGUGUGGGGAGCAAACAGGAUU